Molecule: long non-coding RNA, 322 nt
Filed under: Nicotiana benthamiana
Lineage: Eukaryota; Viridiplantae; Streptophyta; Magnoliopsida; Solanales; Solanaceae
Description: long non-coding RNA (NBEN_LNC029506)
Source: RNAcentral
UUCUAUGUGAACAUUUAUUUAUUUUGGCUUAUAUAUUGACUGGCUAGGAAAAAAAAUCAAGAUAAAAACCAAGAGUGAUGUAGGAAGGAAAUAAAGCCCAAUUUCAAAAACCCUGGUAUUUAACCAUCCACAGGUACAAAUAAAUACUGCCCAGAAUCUGUCACAAUUGGUCAUGAAUAGGCUCAGCUGCAGCUUCGUAUGUGGUGGAAUGAUCUAGACGAAGAUGGUCGAGAUUGGGUAAAAGAGCAAUUGGAUGCCCUUGUAGACGUUAUGGAAAUCAAAUCGCGGGAGGAUCUAAUCAAGGCUUUGGUAACGUUUUGGG